GGUAUUCUGAACUAAAGCAAGGAUUGUUGAAAGUUAGUUGAAAAUAGACCGUCUCUGGUUAAAUUAGUUCUACACCAAGCCUUUAGGUGGCAGUAAAACGAAUUGGCACAAUGCGAAUUCCACACACAAGCCACAAAGAAGCCAUCAGCCGCGGUCAACAGCACCUUCCUGAUUGAACAGAACCACGCGUUGUCUGUGUGGUUUACAAGUUUCUUGGCGAUAUGGGGGGAAAGUUCCUCACAUACCAACGGAAAAUGGGCUUCAUAUACAUGCUGCUGUCUCAUAAUAUGGCGAAGACGAGUCACCUGAAGGCCUAACUCGCCAUAGAAGACUGAAAGAAUUGUCCUGCAGGAUGCUGUGUCCUGCAAUCCUGUGUGCUGUGCUACAGACGCGUGUGGAGGUCAACCCAAAAUGGGCACAGUCUCACCACAGAAGAGUGAAAGAGGAUCCUGGCAGGGAGACGGUAGUGUCCUGCAGAAUGGUGAUGGGCCAAUCUUACAAGAGACCACAGAAAACUGAUAUAGUGAACUAUAGAAACAACAGUGCCUGCUGCAGUAUAACGAGGACACCCUGAGCAGAGAGCUCCAAUAGACCCAGGUCCAGUGUCUUGGCGGGGUGAAAUGGCACUGAUAUGGUGUCCUGCAGGAUGCUGUGUCCUGCAAUCCUGUGUGCUGUGCUACAGACGCGUGUGGAGGUCAACCCAAAAUGGGCACAGUCUCACCACAGAAGAGUGAAAGAGGCUCCCAGAAGUGAGACUGAGUGCCUGUUGCAGUAUGACGAGGACGCAGUGACCAGAGACCUUCAGUAGACCCUGCUGGCAUGAUUGGCGUCUGAAGAACAUGAAAUCAACAGCAAUGUUUAUAAUGUUGUACAUACCUGUAUAGUCUGUAUUAAAAGGCAGUACCUGUA
Long non-coding RNA from Engraulis encrasicolus (European anchovy), 909 nucleotides. RefSeq lists it as uncharacterized. NCBI's taxonomy places the organism in Eukaryota, Metazoa, Chordata, Actinopteri, Clupeiformes, Engraulidae. The transcript is spliced from 7 exons. The record is from RefSeq and is a predicted model, not a curated record.